This 2783-nucleotide long non-coding RNA is filed under the name Macaca fascicularis (crab-eating macaque). Its description in RNAcentral is "lncRNA (ENSMFAG00000053153.1)". Lineage: Eukaryota; Metazoa; Chordata; Mammalia; Primates; Cercopithecidae. The record is from RNAcentral.
GAGAGGAGAGGACAAGGAGGGCAGAUGGAACAUCAGUACCUGCCCACAGCCUUGGCCCCUGGGGGCUAGACUGCUCAACUGUAGAGCAAUUCAUUAUACUGAAAAUGUGCUUGUUGUUGAAAAUUUGUCUGCAUGUUAAUGCCUCACCCCCAAACCCUUUUCUUUCUCACUCUCUGCCUCCAACCUCAAAUUGACUUUCAAUAGUUUUUCUAAGACCUUUGAACUGAAUGUUCUCUUUAGCCAAAACUUGGUGACUUCCACAGAAAAGUCAGACCACUGAGAAGAAGGGGAGCAGAGAUUUAACCCUUUGUAAGGCCCCGUUUGGAUCCAGGUCUGCUUUCUCAUGUGUGAGUCAGAGAGGAGCUGGAGCCAGAGGAGAAGAAAGUGAUAGCUUGACUGUUCUCCUGCUUAGGACACUGACUGAAUAGUUAAACUUUCACUGCCACUACAUUUUCCCCACCUUUAAAAGACCUGAAUGAAGUUUUCUGCCAAACUCCGUGAAGCCACAAGCACCUUAUGUCCUCCAUUCAGUGUUUUGUAGGCCCGAACUUCAUCACACUGCAUUUCAGCCAUGGUGGUCAAGCCUGUUUGCUUCUUUUGGGCAUGUUCACAGAUUCUCUGCUAAGAGCUCCCCCCAUCAAGAAGGUUAGCAGGCCAACAGCUCUGACAUCUAUCUGUAGAUGCCAGUAGUCACAAAGAUUUCUUACCAACUGUCAGAUCGCUGGAACCCUUAGACAAACUGUAAAGAAGGCAUCAAAGGGAUCAGACAAACUGGGUGUCUUGUCCUUGUCCCCCAGAGAUGACACCCUUCCAGCAAGUGGAGAAGUUCUCACUUCCUUCUUUGGAGCAGCUAAAGGGGCUGCCCAGAUCAGGGUUGAAGAGAAAACUCAAUUACCAGGGUGGGAAGAAUGAAGGCACUAGAACCAGAAACCCUGCAAAUGCUCUUCUUGCCACCCAGCAUAUCCACCUGCAGAAGUCAUGAGAAGAGAGAAGGAACAAAGAGGAGACUUUGACUACUGAAUUAAAAUCUUCAGCGGCAAAGCCUAAAGUCAGAUGAACACCAUCUGGUGAGUUCACUCAUCAUCCUCCUCUGCUGCUGAUUCUGGGCUCUGACAUUGCCCAUACUCACUCAGAUUCCCCACCUUUGUUGCUGCCUCUUAGUCAGAGGGAGGCCAAACCAUUGAGACUUUCUAUAGAACCAUGGUUUCUUCCGGAAAGGUCUGGUUGGUGUGGCUCCAAUACAUUGCCACCCAUGAACUCAAGGUGUGCCCUGGGACACUGGUUUCAUCUAGUCUUUUUGCACGCCUGUGUUCUGUUGACUUCAUUCUCCAACCCCAAGUGCAAGGCAAAAUGUCCACCUACUUUCUCAUCUUGGCCACUGCCUCCUUACUUAGCUCUUAAUCUCAUCUGUUGAACUCAAGAAAUCAAGGGCCAGUCAUCAAGCUGCCCAUUUUAAUUGGUUCACUCUGUUUGUUGAGAGGAUAGUUUCUGAGUGACAUGAUAUGAUCCACAAGGGUUUCCUUCCCUGAUUUCUGCAUUGAUAUUAAUAGCCAAACGAACUUGCAAAACAGCUUCUUUAAAUAACAAGGGAGAGGGGAACCUAAGAUGAGUAAUAUGCCAAUCCAAGACUGCUGGACAAAACUAAAGCUAACAGGUUCCCUUUCUGGGAUGGGAUAGACACAUCCUGGUUUUCUUUAUUACUACACCAUCUGGCUCAUGUACAGGAUCACUUUUAGCUGUUUUAAACAGAAAAAAAUUCCACCACUCUUUUCAGUUACACUAGGUUACAUUUUAAUAGGUCCUUUACAUCUGUUUUGGAAUGAUUUUCAUCUUUUGUGAUACAUGGAUUGAAUUAUAUCAUUCUCAUAUCUCUCCUUGUAAAUACUAGAAGCUCUCCUUUACAUUUCUCUAUCAAAUGUUUCAUCUUUAUGGGUUUCCCAGUUGUGACUCUUGUCUCUAUGAAUAUAUGUUUUUCAUUUGCAAAAGCCAAAAAUCAGUGAAACAGCAGUGUAAUUAAAAGCAACAACUGGAUUACUCCAAAUUUCCAAAUGACAAGACUAGGGAAAAAUAGCCUACACAAGGCUUUAGGCCUUCUCUUUCUGUGCUUGGAUUUGAGUGAACAAAGGAGGUUUUAGCUUGGCUCUGUUCUCCCAUGGAUGAAAGGAGGAGGAUUAUUUUUUUUUUCUUUUGGCCAUUGAUGUUCUAGCCAAUGUAAUUGACAGAAGUCUCAUUUUGCAUGCACUCUGCUCUACAAACAGAGUUGGUAUGGUUGGUAUACUGUACUCACCUGUGAAGGACUGGCCACUCAGACCCACUUAACUGGCGAGCUAGAAGAUGAGGAUCACUCACCGGAAAAGUCACGAGGACCAUCUCCAAACAAGUUGGCAGUGCUUGAUGUGGAUGAAGAGUGAGGAAGAGAAAAAGAAGGAGCACCAGGGAAAAGACCUCGUCUGUGCCAGGCAGCAGACUGCUGCCAGGAUCACGAACUCUGUAGUCAAAGAAAAGAGUCGUGUGGCGGUUUCAGCUCUCGUUCAUUGGGCAGCUCGCCUGGGCCCAGCCUCUGUGUUGACAUGGGAGUUGUUGGAUUCUUUGUUUCAUAGCUUUUUCUAUGCCACAGGCAAUGUUGUUGUUCUUGGAAAGUUUAUUAUUUUUUUUAAUUCCCUUACUCUGAGAAAGGGAUAUUUUGAAGGACUGUCAUAUAUCUUUGAAAAAAGAAAAUCUGUAAUACAUAUAUUUUUAUGUAUGUUCACUGGCACUAAAAAAAUAUAGAGAGCUUCAUUCUG